This 505-nucleotide ribosomal RNA is filed under the name uncultured bacterium. Its description in RNAcentral is "partial 16S ribosomal RNA". It matches the Rfam family "Bacterial small subunit ribosomal RNA", at positions 28 to 507 of the family's 1533-position model. The record is from RNAcentral.
GACGAACGCUGGCGGCGUGCCUAAUACAUGCAAGUAGAACGCACAGUUUAUACCGUAGCUUGCUACACCAUAGACUGUGAGUUGCGAACGGGUGAGUAACGCGUAGGUAACCUGCCUGGUAGCGGGGGAUAACUAUCGGAAACGAUAGCUAAUACCGCAUAAUAUUAAUUAUUGCAUGAUAAUUAAUUGAAAGGUGCAAUUGCACCACUACCAGAUGGACCUGCGUUGUAUUAGCUAGUAGGUGAGGUAACGGCUCACCUAGGCGACGAUACAUAGCCGACCUGAGAGGGUGAUCGGCCACACUGGGACUGAGACACGGCCCAGACUCCUACGGGAGGCAGCAGUAGGGAAUCUUCGGCAAUGGACGAAAGUCUGACCGAGCAACGCCGCGUGAGUGAAGAAGGUUUUCGGAUCGUAAAGCUCUGUUGUAAGAGAAGAACGGGUGUGAGAGUGGAAAGUUCACACUGUGACGGUAUCUUACCAGAAAGGGACGGCUAACUACGUG